GACAAAUGGAGCUUUCUGAGAUUUCAAAACUGGGGGGCUCAAGUUUCACAUUUGUUCAAAAGAAACUAUAAAGAUCAGUUCUAUGGGACAGUUGGGUAAGUUUCAAGUUUGGCAGACUCCCUUUUCUCUGCAUCCACAUGACAAGCAGAGAAAGGAUGGUGAAAACCUACAGGCCACUUUUGACAGUUUAAUUUAAAAGUAAACAGGCUUCCAGAUUAACCUACCUUGGGAAGGUCUUGUGAUUCAUGGUGAAAUCCUGUCCCUGAAUCUCAUGAUGAGUUCCUCAAGUUGUUGACAUACUGAUUAAUGCAUACCCCACUGACCCUGAAAAGGGUGCUGACUUAUUUCUGAAUCAUAAAGUUUUACUGAUUGUUUUACAUGAAGACAUUUGAGCCUGUAUGUUGCAAUCUGUAUCCAAUGAUUGUAACCUCUCUAUUGUAUCCUCCAAUAAGAAAGGACAAUUCUGGUGUGAAGAGUCCCUCUUCCUUCUCCUGACCCUACCUAUAAAAUCAUUCCAACUUGUAACAGACUCUGGAACACUCUCAACUUUGUUGGUGUGUUUUCUUGGGUUGAUCCUCACAUUUGGCUUUCAAUAAACUGUUAUCAAAUUAUUUAUUUCUCAACAGGCUAAAUUUUCGUCAACAUUCCGGUGUAGUUGGCAGAAUUUUGGAGUGACCUCCCUGGACGACAUAUGCGGCCUCCGACCUUUGUGCAGCUCUCCAGGAACACAUCUUUGAAGACAAAAUGCCUCCAAGAUCCCCAGUACUGUAGCUCUUCUCCUGAAGCAACUAUUUCCAGCCUUGAAAGUUAUCAGCUCAGGAGAGGAAGCACUGCAAGCAGCUCCUGGGCCCUGGGGUAUGGUUGCAGAUUCAUCACCUAGCUACUUGUUUGUGGUGUUAUCAUCUUUUUUUCCCUGACAUAUUUUGGAACUUGACUACAUCUGAUAUAUUUCUCAACAUUUCUCCAGUACCAUUCACUCCAACUCCAGAGGACACCAUGGAACACCAUUUCCUCGGCUGGAAGUGGGACCAUCUCCGGCGACCUCUGCUUCUCCUCUCCUUUUCUACUUUACAGGAGCACUUACAGAAACACUUGAAAAAGUUCCCCACUCAUAGGAGACCUGUCAGUUAGCAAAUUGUACCCUGAAGUUUUGGUCUAGGAUAUCAAAGCAUAACUUAUUUUGGGGCUGCUUUACCAGAUUGUGACAUAAUAAACUU
This 1217-nucleotide long non-coding RNA is filed under the name Homo sapiens (human). RNAcentral's name for it is "HSALNT0309412". Lineage: Eukaryota; Metazoa; Chordata; Mammalia; Primates; Hominidae. The record is from RNAcentral.